This 443-nucleotide ribosomal RNA is filed under the name uncultured bacterium. Its description in RNAcentral is "partial 16S ribosomal RNA". It matches the Rfam family "Bacterial small subunit ribosomal RNA", at positions 338 to 795 of the family's 1533-position model. The record is from RNAcentral.
CCUACGGGAGGCAGCAGUGGGGAAUAUUGGGCAAUGGAGGAAACUCUGACCCAGCAACGCCGCGUGAAUGAUGAAGGUCUUCGGAUUGUAAAGUUCUUUUCUAAGGGAAGAAGAAAGUGACGGUACCUUAGGAAUAAGCCUCGGCUAACUACGUGCCAGCAGCCGCGGUAAUACGGAGGAGGCAAGCGUUAUCCGGAAUGACUGGGCGUAAAGGGUGCGUAGGUGGUUUGACAAGUUGGUAGCGUAACUCCGGGGCUCAACCUCGGCACUACUACCAAAACUGUCGGACUUGAGUGCAGGAGGGGCAAAUGGAAUGCCUAGUGUAGCGGUGGAAUGCGUAGAUAUUAGGAGGAACACCAGUGGCGAAGGCGAUUUGCUGGGCUGUAACUGACACUGAGGCACGAAAGCGUGGGGAGCAAACAGGAUUAGAUACCCCGGUAGUC